RNAcentral lists this ribosomal RNA (2924 nucleotides) under Escherichia coli. RNAcentral's name for it is "23S ribosomal RNA". It matches the Rfam family "Bacterial large subunit ribosomal RNA". Lineage: Bacteria; Pseudomonadati; Pseudomonadota; Gammaproteobacteria; Enterobacterales; Enterobacteriaceae. The record is from RNAcentral.
GGGUUGUGAGGUUAAGCGACUAAGCGUACACGGUGGAUGCCCUGGCAGUCAGAGGCGAUGAAGGACGUGCUAAUCUGCGAUAAGCGUCGGUGAGGUGAUAUGAACCGUUAUAACCGGCGAUUUCCGAAUGGGGAAACCCAGUGUGUUUCGACACACUAUCAUUAACUGAAUCCAUAGGUUAAUGAGGCGAACCGGGGGAACUGAAACAUCUAAGUACCCCGAGGAAAAGAAAUCAACCGAGAUUCCCCCAGUAGCGGCGAGCGAACGGGGAGGAGCCCAGAGCCUGAAUCAGUGUGUGUGUUAGUGGAAGCGUCUGGAAAGGCGCGCGAUACAGGGUGACAGCCCCGUACACAAAAAUACACAUAUUGUGAGCUCGAUGAGUAGGGCGGGACACGUGGUAUCCUGUCUGAAUAUGGGGGGACCAUCCUCCAAGGCUAAAUACUCCUGACUGACCGAUAGUGAACCAGUACCGUGAGGGAAAGGCGAAAAGAACCCCGGCGAGGGGAGUGAAAAAGAACCUGAAACCGUGUACGUACAAGCAGUGGGAGCCUCUUUAUGGGGUGACUGCGUACCUUUUGUAUAAUGGGUCAGCGACUUAUAUUCUGUAGCAAGGUUAACCGAAUAGGGGAGCCGAAGGGAAACCGAGUCUUAACUGGGCGUUAAGUUGCAGGGUAUAGACCCGAAACCCGGUGAUCUAGCCAUGGGCAGGUUGAAGGUUGGGUAACACUAACUGGAGGACCGAACCGACUAAUGUUGAAAAAUUAGCGGAUGACUUGUGGCUGGGGGUGAAAGGCCAAUCAAACCGGGAGAUAGCUGGUUCUCCCCGAAAGCUAUUUAGGUAGCGCCUCGUGAAUUCAUCUCCGGGGGUAGAGCACUGUUUCGGCAAGGGGGUCAUCCCGACUUACCAACCCGAUGCAAACUGCGAAUACCGGAGAAUGUUAUCACGGGAGACACACGGCGGGUGCUAACGUCCGUCGUGAAGAGGGAAACAACCCAGACCGCCAGCUAAGGUCCCAAAGUCAUGGUUAAGUGGGAAACGAUGUGGGAAGGCCCAGACAGCCAGGAUGUUGGCUUAGAAGCAGCCAUCAUUUAAAGAAAGCGUAAUAGCUCACUGGUCGAGUCGGCCUGCGCGGAAGAUGUAACGGGGCUAAACCAUGCACCGAAGCUGCGGCAGCGACACUAUGUGUUGUUGGGUAGGGGAGCGUUCUGUAAGCCUGUGAAGGUGGCCUGUGAGGGUUGCUGGAGGUAUCAGAAGUGCGAAUGCUGACAUAAGUAACGAUAAAGCGGGUGAAAAGCCCGCUCGCCGGAAGACCAAGGGUUCCUGUCCAACGUUAAUCGGGGCAGGGUGAGUCGACCCCUAAGGCGAGGCCGAAAGGCGUAGUCGAUGGGAAACAGGUUAAUAUUCCUGUACUUGGUGUUACUGCGAAGGGGGACGGAGAAGGCUAUGUUGGCCGGGCGACGGUUGUCCCGGUUUAAGCGUGUAGGCUGGUUUUCCAGGCAAAUCCGGAAAACCAAGGCUGAGGCGUGAUGACGAGGCACUACGGUGCUGAAGCGACAAAUGCCCUGCUUCCAGGAAAAGCCUCUAAGCAUCAGGUAACAUCAAAUCGUACCCCAAACCGACACAGGUGGUCAGGUAGAGAAUACCAAGGCGCUUGAGAGAACUCGGGUGAAGGAACUAGGCAAAAUGGUGCCGUAACUUCGGGAGAAGGCACGCUGAUAUGUAGGUGAAGCGACUUGCUCGUGGAGCUGAAAUCAGUCGAAGAUACCAGCUGGCUGCAACUGUUUAUUAAAAACACAGCACUGUGCAAACACGAAAGUGGACGUAUACGGUGUGACGCCUGCCCGGUGCCGGAAGGUUAAUUGAUGGGGUUAGCGGUAACGCGAAGCUCUUGAUCGAAGCCCCGGUAAACGGCGGCCGUAACUAUAACGGUCCUAAGGUAGCGAAAUUCCUUGUCGGGUAAGUUCCGACCUGCACGAAUGGCGUAAUGAUGGCCAGGCUGUCUCCACCCGAGACUCAGUGAAAUUGAACUCGCUGUGAAGAUGCAGUGUACCCGCGGCAAGACGGAAAGACCCCGUGAACCUUUACUAUAGCUUGACACUGAACAUUGAGCCUUGAUGUGUAGGAUAGGUGGGAGGCUUUGAAGUGUGGACGCCAGUCUGCAUGGAGCCGACCUUGAAAUACCACCCUUUAAUGUUUGAUGUUCUAACGUUGGCCCGUAAUCCGGGUUGCGGACAGUGUCUGGUGGGUAGUUUGACUGGGGCGGUCUCCUCCUAAAGAGUAACGGAGGAGCACGAAGGUUGGCUAAUCCUGGUCGGACAUCAGGAGGUUAGUGCAAUGGCAUAAGCCAGCUUGACUGCGAGCGUGACGGCGCGAGCAGGUGCGAAAGCAGGUCAUAGUGAUCCGGUGGUUCUGAAUGGAAGGGCCAUCGCUCAACGGAUAAAAGGUACUCCGGGGAUAACAGGCUGAUACCGCCCAAGAGUUCAUAUCGACGGCGGUGUUUGGCACCUCGAUGUCGGCUCAUCACAUCCUGGGGCUGAAGUAGGUCCCAAGGGUAUGGCUGUUCGCCAUUUAAAGUGGUACGCGAGCUGGGUUUAGAACGUCGUGAGACAGUUCGGUCCCUAUCUGCCGUGGGCGCUGGAGAACUGAGGGGGGCUGCUCCUAGUACGAGAGGACCGGAGUGGACGCAUCACUGGUGUUCGGGUUGUCAUGCCAAUGGCACUGCCCGGUAGCUAAAUGCGGAAGAGAUAAGUGCUGAAAGCAUCUAAGCACGAAACUUGCCCCGAGAUGAGUUCUCCCUGACUCCUUGAGAGUCCUGAAGGAACGUUGAAGACGACGACGUUGAUAGGCCGGGUGUGUAAGCGCAGCGAUGCGUUGAGCUAACCGGUACUAAUGAACCGUGAGGCUUAACCUUACAACGCCGAAG